Molecule: long non-coding RNA, 230 nt
Filed under: Physcomitrium patens
Lineage: Eukaryota; Viridiplantae; Streptophyta; Bryopsida; Funariales; Funariaceae
Description: long non-coding RNA (PPAT_LNC002120)
Source: RNAcentral
GUCUCGACAACACAUCUCUUGGAGUUCUAGCUCACCUUUCUAGUGUUGUUCCUAUACUCAUCUGUUUAAUCUAGUUCUGCCACUUCUUCUUGAACUUCUUGUUAGAUUUCAAGUCUGUAUUUUGUGUCCGUGACAAUGGACACUAACUUGUGGAAAAAAAAUAGAACUUACAACAACAUGAUUUUAAUAACUUUAAUAGAAUUAUAAAAAAAAAUUAAUUAAAUUAUAAC